Molecule: ribosomal RNA, 433 nt
Filed under: uncultured bacterium
Lineage: Bacteria
Description: partial 16S ribosomal RNA
Rfam family: Bacterial small subunit ribosomal RNA
Source: RNAcentral
AACGAACGCUGGCGGCAUGCCUAACACAUGCAAGUCGAACGAGACCUUCGGGUCUAGUGGCGCACGGGUGCGUAACGCGUGGGAACCUGCCCUUAGGUUCGGAAUAACUCCCCGAAAGGGGUGCUAAUACCGGAUAAUGCCUUCGGACCAAAGAUUUAUCGCCUUUGGAUGGGCCCGCGUUGGAUUAGCUAGUUGGUAGGGUAAAAGCCUACCAAGGCGACGAUCCAUAGCUGGUCUGAGAGGAUGAUCAGCCACACUGGGACUGAGACACGGCCCAGACUCCUACGGGAGGCAGCAGUGGGGAAUAUUGGACAAUGGGCGAAAGCCUGAUCGAGCAAUGCCGCGUGAGUGAUGAAGGCCUUAGGGUUGUAAAGCUCUUUUACCCGGGAUGAUAAUGACAGUACCGGGAGAAUAAGCUCCGGCUAACUCCGUG